GUUUCCCUGACCACUUCAUUGCAUGAGGGCUGAAUUUAGUCCUAAUACUGAAGUGUUUGGGGGAACUC
This 68-nucleotide microRNA precursor is filed under the name Carica papaya (papaya). RNAcentral's name for it is "miR395c stem-loop (cpa-MIR395c)". Its record names the gene cpa-MIR395c. Lineage: Eukaryota; Viridiplantae; Streptophyta; Magnoliopsida; Brassicales; Caricaceae. The record is from miRBase by way of RNAcentral.